AGUGAACGCUGGCGGUAGGCCUAACACAUGCAAGUCGAACGGCAGCACAGUAAGAGCUUGCUCUUACGGGUGGCGAGUGGCGGACGGGUGAGGAAUACAUCGGAAUCUACUUUUUCGUGGGGGAUAACGUAGGGAAACUUACGCUAAUACCGCAUACGACCUACGGGUGAAAGCAGGGGAUCUUCGGACCUUGCGCGAUUGAAUGAGCCGAUGUCGGAGUAGCUAGUUGGCGGGGUAAAGGCCCACCAAGGCGACGAUCCGUAGCUGGUCUGAGAGGAUGAUCAGCGACACUGGAGCGGAGACACGGUCCAGACUCCUACGGGAGGCAGCAGUGGGGAAUAUUGGACAAUGGGCGCAAGCCUGAUCCAGCCAUACCGCGUGUGUGAAGAAGGCCUUCGGGUUGUAAAGCCGUUUUGUUGGGAAAGAAAAGCAGCAGGUUAAGACCCCGCUGUUCUGACGGUAACCAAUGAAUAAGCACCGGCUAACUUCGUG
Molecule: ribosomal RNA, 492 nt
Filed under: uncultured bacterium
Lineage: Bacteria
Description: partial 16S ribosomal RNA
Rfam family: Bacterial small subunit ribosomal RNA
Source: RNAcentral